GAUGAAGAACGCAGCGAAAUGCGAUAGGUAAUGUGAAUUGCAGAAUUCAGUGAAUCAUCGAAUCUUUGAACGCACAUUGCGCCCGCCAGUAUUCUGGCGGGCAUGCCUGUUCGAGCGUCAUUUCAACCAUCAAGCCCCCGGCUUGUGUUGGGGACCUGCGGCUGCCGCAGGCCCUGAAAACCAGUGGCGGGCUCGCUAGUCACUCCGAGCGUAGUAAUACAUCUCGCUCAGGGCGUGCUGCGGGUUCCGGCCGUUAAAAAGCCUUAUUUACCCAAGGUUGACCUCGGAUCAGGUAGGAAGACCCGCUGAACUUAAGCAUAUCAAUAAGCGGAGGA
Molecule: unclassified non-coding RNA, 335 nt
Filed under: soil metagenome
Description: partial contains 5.8S ribosomal RNA, internal transcribed spacer 2, and large subunit ribosomal RNA
Rfam family: 5.8S ribosomal RNA (bases 1-120)
Source: RNAcentral